AUGUACAUUACAUAUAGUUGAUAGUAACUGAAUGUUUGUGUUGAAGUUCUUCCAGUGGUUGUAUUGAAUUGAAUGGGAGUCUCUCUGCAGCAUCAGUGCAUGAAAGAGUGAAUGACAUGAGUGGAGUUUGUUCUGCUGCUACUUCCUGAAUGUUUGCAGUUCAGAGCUGACUGCUUUCAUCAGGAAACAGUGAAGUCUGCUCAGUUAGUUUGAUCUCUAAAGAUGUCCACACAAACUGAAGCUGCAGCAGAUUGGAGAGGGAAAUUUAGCAGAAAUCUUCAUCCAGAUGGAAGAGAACAAAGUGAGGUGGAGAUGUUAGAUGAUGAAGAGCAGCACUCUGAUCAUGGAUUACAACAAACUGAAAAUCAGAAGCAGAAGAAUCUUCAAGCUGAGAGAAGAAACUGUUUCAGAGUUUUCAAGUUUUCUCUGGGAGUUUUCUGUUUCCUGAUUCUGGCUGGACUCAUGACUCGCUAUCAUCUGGUGUCUUUGGAAAAAAACAGACUGAAAACCAGAAACAAUCACCUGCAGACUGAACUUUCAGGCAUCAACAAAACUCUUUUGGAUGAAAUAAAACAGCUGAAAAAUCAGAUUGAAGUUUGUAGGAUCUGAUCUGGUGGUGAUAAACAGCAAAGAGGAACAGGUGGGUGUGUUCACACUAGUUCCUUCCAGCUUCUUGUGUCUUGGAUUCUCCACCUGUAUGUGUGCUGCUGUUGUCUGGAUGCUGAUGGAUUCCAGCUGAAAUUCUCCUCAACAACUCAGAUUUCAUGUUUGUCUUUCAGCAACAUUUCAAAGAAACGUUGUGAUGGAACACAGAAACUCUUUUUCCCACUUCUAAUGUCUUCAAUUCCAAAUAGGCUAAACUGGGAUUCAGUAGAAAUGGACUGUUGGCCCUGAAGACAAAACAAGAAGCAAAAACUAAAUGAACAGAAAUCUGCAUCAAAGAAAGUCAGAUUUUGUUCCUCAGAUGAACUUUCUCUCAGUUUUUAGGACAAUUAUCCAGAACAGAUGAAUCCUAAAGACCAGGCAUUAUUUUACUGGACAUUUAGUGUGAAAGGAAACCAAGAUGGAGAGAAUGUAUUAAGAAAGAAUAUUUUCUUUGGUUUAUAGGAGUUUGUUUCUACAUUGAAUCAGAAAGAAGAAUCCUGGAUCGGUCUGUUUGCUGAAUGGUCAUUACCGAAACCUGAAUGGAAAUGGGUGGAUGGAUCACCACUGACAGAAACGUUCUGGGAUGAGAAGUCUUCAAAAGAUGCAAAAUACAACGAUGCAGUGUCCUUAAGUGCUGAAGGGAAAUGGACACAACUCUACAAAGGAAACAACAAAAACUGGAUCUGUGAGAAAAACAUUUCUAAAUCUUUCUGUUUCUGAUCUGUGCAUUGAUUUAACUGUUUAGUAAUGUAACUACAAAAAUGUUUUAUUUUUUUUUUAUUUCUUUGUGUUUACUUCUCCAAAAUAGUGCUUAAAGGAAGGUUGUAUUUUAGUUUCUGGUGAAUUGUUCAGAGAAAUGAAGGUGUCAUCUAUCAACAACUUCAUCACAUUUAAAUAUCAGUUAAAAUGACUCAGAUAAACAGGAAACUGUAAUAAAUGACAUGAAAACGAGCUAACUUAGAGCAGCAGUUCAGACUCAGGUUUGGUCUGUAGCAAAUAACAAACAGCUUCCACAAAGUCAACUGAAAAGUUACAUCUAGAAAGGGAAGUCAAUGUUUGGAACAUUUUUUUGUAUUUUCUCAUGAUUUUGAUGGAAUAUUAAAAGAAUAUAUGAUGGAAAA
Molecule: non-coding RNA, 1766 nt
Organism: Oryzias latipes (Japanese medaka)
Lineage: Eukaryota; Metazoa; Chordata; Actinopteri; Beloniformes; Adrianichthyidae
Source: RefSeq, a predicted model, not a curated record